RNAcentral lists this ribosomal RNA (471 nucleotides) under uncultured bacterium. Its description in RNAcentral is "partial 16S ribosomal RNA". It matches the Rfam family "Bacterial small subunit ribosomal RNA", at positions 355 to 817 of the family's 1533-position model. The record is from RNAcentral.
UGGGGAAUUUUGGACAAUGGGCGCAAGCCUGAUCCAGCCAUGCCGCGUGCGGGAAGAAGGCCUUCGGGUUGUAAACCGCUUUUGUCAGGGAAGAAAUCUUCUGAGUUAAUACCUCGGGAGGAUGACGGUACCUGAAGAAUAAGCACCGGCUAACUACGUGCCAGCAGCCGCGGUAAUACGUAGGGUGCAAGCGUUAAUCGGAAUUACUGGGCGUAAAGCGUGCGCAGGCGGUUUUGUAAGACAGAGGUGAAAUCCCCGGGCUCAACCUGGGAACUGCCUUUGUGACUGCAAGGCUUGAGUGCGGCAGAGGGGGAUGGAAUUCCGCGUGUAGCAGUGAAAUGCGUAGAUAUGCGGAGGAACACCGAUGGCGAAGGCAAUCCCCUGGGCCUGCACUGACGCUCAUGCACGAAAGCGUGGGGAGCAAACAGGAUUAGAUACCCUGGUAGUCCACGCCCUAAAACGAUGUCAACU